RNAcentral lists this ribosomal RNA (292 nucleotides) under uncultured microorganism. Its description in RNAcentral is "partial 16S ribosomal RNA". It matches the Rfam family "Bacterial small subunit ribosomal RNA", at positions 505 to 796 of the family's 1533-position model. The record is from RNAcentral.
GUGCCAGCAGCCGCGGUAAUACAGAGGGUGCGAGCGUUAAUCGGAUUUACUGGGCGUAAAGCGUGCGUAGGCGGCCAUUUAAGUCAAAUGUGAAAUCCCCGAGCUUAACUUGGGAAUUGCAUUCGAUACUGGAUGGCUAGAGUAUGGGAGAGGAUGGUAGAAUUCCAGGUGUAGCGGUGAAAUGCGUAGAGAUCUGGAGGAAUACCGAUGGCGAAGGCAGCCAUCUGGCCUAAUACUGACGCUGAGGUACGAAAGCAUGGGGAGCAAACAGGAUUAGAUACCCUGGUAGUCC